This 303-nucleotide ribosomal RNA is filed under the name uncultured bacterium. Its description in RNAcentral is "partial 16S ribosomal RNA". It matches the Rfam family "Bacterial small subunit ribosomal RNA", at positions 507 to 807 of the family's 1533-position model. The record is from RNAcentral.
AGCAGUCGCCACGGUAAUACGAAGGGUGCAAGCGCUAAUCGGAAUUACUGGGCGUAAAGCGUGCGUAGGCGGUUUGUUAAGUCUGUUGUGAAAUCCCCGGGCUCAACCUGGGAAUGGCAAUGGAUACUGGCAAGCUAGAGUGUGUAAGAGGAUGGUGGAAUUCCCGGUGUAGCGGUGAAAUGCGUAGAGAUCGGGAGGAACAUCAGUGGCGAAGGCGGCCAUCUGGGACAACACUGACGCUGAGGCACGAAAGCGUGGGGAGCAAACAGGAUUAGAUACCCCAGUAGUCCCUGUCUCUUAUAC